This is a long non-coding RNA of Carassius carassius (crucian carp), 247 nucleotides long. RefSeq lists it as uncharacterized. NCBI's taxonomy places the organism in Eukaryota, Metazoa, Chordata, Actinopteri, Cypriniformes, Cyprinidae. The record is from RefSeq and is a predicted model, not a curated record. The transcript has 2 exons.
GGGAGCCUUACAGAUGGAUUUCCUAUUGAUUUAUGAAGUGACACCCGUUAUCUGCGUCAACUGUGCCCUCAGCAAAUCAGGGAGAGUUUGGGACGUUCCCGACUGCACCUUCUACCACAUUAGCCCCUCCCUAAAGCCAUGAAGAACUUUCUACAAUAUAGAUAAUGUCCUUAUGUUUGCUUAGUUUUACUGUACUUAUGACUUACUUUGACUUAUAGCCUAAAUAAUAAAAGCUGUUUUUACCUUU